RNAcentral lists this long non-coding RNA (325 nucleotides) under Malus domestica (apple). RNAcentral describes it as "long non-coding RNA (MDOM_LNC007827)". Lineage: Eukaryota; Viridiplantae; Streptophyta; Magnoliopsida; Rosales; Rosaceae. The record is from RNAcentral.
UAGGGUUUGAUGACGACGAGCAUAGCGAUGUACCCUCUGUAGGUGUUGCGGUGCUCCCCCAUCUUGCACACCACCGUCCCCACGCACCUGCCUCCGUGGAACGCCAUGAAACAGAGCUGCGGCCACAGAUACACGAAGUACCGAUAGGUGAAGAUGGAGUACGGCUCACUCAGUUCUUGGUCCACCAGGCCCAUAAUUAGAGGCAGGUGCUCUUCUCCUCCAUAGCUCAAGUACUCUAUCUCCAACGCCGCCGACGACGACAAAUUUACCUUCUCAAUCUCACCCCCUCGUCCUCCGCCGCCGCAGCUUUCUUCUUCUUCUUCUU